This 484-nucleotide ribosomal RNA is filed under the name uncultured bacterium. RNAcentral describes it as "partial 16S ribosomal RNA". It matches the Rfam family "Bacterial small subunit ribosomal RNA", at positions 30 to 507 of the family's 1533-position model. The record is from RNAcentral.
AUUGAACGCUGGCGGAAUGCUUUACACAUGCAAGUCGAACGAUGAACCUUAGCUUGCUAAGGGGGUUAGUGGCGAACGGGUGAGUAAUAUAUCGGAACGUGCCUUGUAAUGGGGUAUAACUAGUCGAAAGAUUAGCUAAUACCGCAUACGCCCUGAGGCGGAAAGUGGGGGAUCUUCGGACCUUACGUUAUAAGAGCGGCCGAUAUCUGAUUAGCUAGUUGGUGGGGUAAUGGCCUACCAAGGCGACGAUCAGUAGCUGGUCUGAGAGGACGACCAGCCACACUGGAACUGAGACACGGUCCAGACUCCUACGGGAGGCAGCAGUGGGGAAUUUUGGACAAUGGGCGCAAGCCUGAUCCAGCCAUUCCGCGUGAGUGAAGAAGGCCUUCGGGUUGUAAAGAUCUUUCGCCAGGGAAGAAAACUUACCAUCGAAUAUAUGGUGAGGCUGACGGUACCUUGAUAAGAAGCACCGGCUAACUACGUG